This 76-nucleotide transfer RNA is filed under the name Thalassolituus oleivorans. RNAcentral describes it as "tRNA-Thr". It matches the Rfam family "tRNA". Rfam says of the family: Transfer RNA (tRNA) molecules are approximately 80 nucleotides in length. Their secondary structure includes four short double-helical elements and three loops (D, anti-codon, and T loops). The record is from RNAcentral. RNAcentral also lists the same sequence under 9 other names. Lineage: Bacteria; Pseudomonadati; Pseudomonadota; Gammaproteobacteria; Oceanospirillales; Oceanospirillaceae.
GCUGAUAUAGCUCAGUCGGUAGAGCGCAUCCUUGGUAAGGAUGAGGUCCCCAGUUCGACUCUGGGUAUCAGCACCA